This 468-nucleotide ribosomal RNA is filed under the name uncultured bacterium. RNAcentral describes it as "partial 16S ribosomal RNA". It matches the Rfam family "Bacterial small subunit ribosomal RNA", at positions 28 to 507 of the family's 1533-position model. The record is from RNAcentral.
GACGAACGCUGGCGGCGUGCUUAACACAUGCAAGUCGAACGGAAAGGCCCUGCUUUCGUGGGGUGCUCGAGUGGCGAACGGGUGAGUAACACGUGAGUAACCUGCCCUUGACUUUGGGAUAACUUCAGGAAACUGGGGCUAAUACCGGAUAGGAGCUCCUGCUGCAUGGUGGGGGUUGGAAAGUUUCGGCGGUUGGGGAUGGACUCGCGGCUUAUCAGCUUGUUGGUGGGGUAGUGGCUUACCAAGGCUUUGACGGGUAGCCGGCCUGAGAGGGUGACCGGCCACAUUGGGACUGCGAUACGGCCCAGACUCCUACGGGAGGCAGCAGUGGGGAAUCUUGCACAAUGGGCGGAAGCCUGAUGCAGCAACGCCGCGUGCGGGAUGACGGCCUUCGGGUUGUAAACCGCUUUCGCCUGUGACGAAGCGUGAGUGACGGUAAUGGGUAAAGAAGCACCGGCUAACUACGUG